GCCCUGGUGGUGGAAUUGGUAGACACAAGGGAUUUAAAAUCCCUCGGCGUUCGCGCGGUGCCGGUUCAAGUCCGGCCCGGGGCACCA
Molecule: transfer RNA, 87 nt
Filed under: Photobacterium iliopiscarium
Lineage: Bacteria; Pseudomonadati; Pseudomonadota; Gammaproteobacteria; Vibrionales; Vibrionaceae
Description: tRNA-Leu
Rfam family: tRNA
About the family: Transfer RNA (tRNA) molecules are approximately 80 nucleotides in length. Their secondary structure includes four short double-helical elements and three loops (D, anti-codon, and T loops).
Source: RNAcentral